GUAUAAGCUCUUGUCAAUGACUUGGUGAUCGUUGUGCUUGCACAUAAGGUCACACAGUCAUUAGACAAGGCAACGGACAUGAGCAUGUAGCACGAUAGUGCGGAAUGCGAAUGGACGUAGAAUUGCGGGGCACAAUGAGUCCAGUGGACUCAUGUUUUGUGC
This 162-nucleotide small RNA is filed under the name Lachnospiraceae bacterium XBB1006. RNAcentral describes it as "Clostridiales-1 RNA". It matches the Rfam family "Clostridiales-1 RNA". Lineage: Bacteria; Bacillati; Bacillota; Clostridia; Lachnospirales; Lachnospiraceae. The record is from RNAcentral.